UAGGGAAUCUUCCACAAUGGACGCAAGUCUGAUGGAGCAACGCCGCGUGAGUGAAGAAGGUUUUCGGACCGUAAAGCUCUGUUGUUGGUGAAGAAGGAUAGAGGUAGUAACUGGCCUUUAUUUGACGGUAAUCAACCAGAAAGUCACGGCUAACUAACGUGCCAGCAGCCGCGGUAAAUACGUAGGUGGCAAGCGUUGUCCGGAUUUAUUGGGCGUAAAAGCGAGCGCAGGCGGAAGAAUAAAGUCUGAUGUGAAAGCCCUC
Molecule: ribosomal RNA, 262 nt
Filed under: uncultured bacterium
Lineage: Bacteria
Description: partial 16S ribosomal RNA
Rfam family: Bacterial small subunit ribosomal RNA
Source: RNAcentral